UUUUUAGACCUAUGCAAUGGGUGUUAUAGGCAAUGCUUCAGGGUGGGAACACAGCAGAGCCCCUAUAAUAUUUAUGUGCCAUAGUAAUCUGAAAAAGG
Molecule: signal recognition particle RNA, 98 nt
Filed under: Helicobacter sp. MIT 99-5507
Lineage: Bacteria; Pseudomonadati; Campylobacterota; Epsilonproteobacteria; Campylobacterales; Helicobacteraceae
Description: Bacterial small signal recognition particle RNA
Rfam family: Bacterial small signal recognition particle RNA
About the family: The signal recognition particle (SRP) is a universally conserved ribonucleoprotein involved in the co-translational targeting of proteins to membranes.
Source: Rfam by way of RNAcentral